GAGACCAUUUUGUAACCUGAUCAUAUGGUUCAACCACUUGAACAUCUCAGAAACUUUUCAGAUAUCAUUCUGUGUAAUUCUGCCUGAUUUUUAAUACUUUCCAGGAUUUAUUGGAUUGUGAAAAAGCACAGAAAUAACCACUCUUGUGUAAUGUUUCUUCUUCUCAUGUACUAAAGAGAUCAAGUACAGCAAACUGAAGACAUUAAUCAUCUGGAAAGUGGGAGUCCUGUGGUACAGAUAACCCAGAGUGGAUGGACACAAGCAGAAGGCUACAGCACCUUGGGUGUGGAACUCUGUGCUUGUCCAAAGCAGACUGAAGAUCUGCAGAACAGAUUCUGUAACAGGAGCUUCCACAGUCAGCACAGGUAG
This 369-nucleotide long non-coding RNA is filed under the name Cyanistes caeruleus (blue tit). RNAcentral's name for it is "lncRNA (ENSCCEG00000009726.1)". The record is from RNAcentral. Lineage: Eukaryota; Metazoa; Chordata; Aves; Passeriformes; Paridae.